AGAGUUUGAUCCUGGCUCAGGACGAACGCUGGCGGCGUGGAUUAGGCAUGCAAGUCGAACGCGAAAGCAUAGCUUCGGUUAUGUUAGUAGAGUGGCGAACGGGUGAGUAACGCGUAGGUAAUCUGCCUUUAAGUGGGGGACAGCCCCGGGAAACCGGGAUUAAUACCGCAUAUGAAGCAGUUCUAAAGGUGGCCUCUGAUUCAAGCUAUCGCUUAAAGAUGAGCCUGCGUCCUAUUAGCUAGUUGGUGAGGUAACUGCUCACCAAGGCAGUGAUAGGUAGGCGGCCUUAACGGGUGGUCGCCCACACUGGGAUUGAGAUACGGCCCAGACUCCUACGGGAGGCAGCAGUCGAGAAUAGUCUACAAUGGGGAAAACCCUGAUAGUGCGACGCCGCGUGGAUGAAGAAGCUUUUCGGAGUGUAAAAUCCUUUUCUGAGUGAGCAAUACUUUAUAGAUUAAUAGUUUAUAGAGGGAGAUAUUAGCUCAGGAAUAAGCCACGGCUAACUCCGUGCCAGCAGCCGCGGUAAUACGGGGGUGGCAAGCGUUGUCCGGAAUUACCAGGCGUAAAGGGCUAGUAGGCGGAAAUUUAAGUCAGGUGUUAAAGGCGUCGGCUCAACCGGCGUAUGGCAUUUGAUACUGGAUUUCUAGAAUAAGGUAGAAGAAGAUGGAAUUCCUGGUGUAGCGGUGGAAUGCGCAGAUAUCAGGAAGAACACCAGUGCGAAGGCGAUCUUCUAGGCCAUUAUUGACGCUGAAUAGCGAAGGUGUGGGUAUCGAACAGGAUUAGAUACCCUGGUAGUCCACACAGUAAACGAUGUGCACUAGGUGUUGGGAGGGAAGAACCUUUCAGUACCGCAGCUAACGCGUUAAGUGCAUCGCCUGGGGAGUACGAUCGCAAGGUUAAAACUCAAAGGAAUUGACGGGGGCCCGCACAAGCGGUGGAGCAUGUGGUUUAAUUCGAUGCAACGCGAAUAACCUUACCUGGGCUUGACAUCCUCGGAACCCUGCAGAGAUGCGGGGGUGCCUCUUUGAGGAACCGGGAGACAGGUGCUGCAUGGCUGUCGUCAGCUCGUGUCGUGAGAUGUUGGGUUAAGUCCCGCAACGAGCGCAACCCCUAUUUCUAGUUACCAGCACUUCGGGUGGGGACUCUAGAGAGACUGCCAGUGUAAUAAACUGGAGGAAGGUGGGGACGACGUCAAGUCAUCAUGGUCCUUAUGUCCAGGGCUACACACGUGCUACAAUGGCCGGUACAGAGGGAGGCGAAGCCGCAAGGUGGAGCAAAACCCAGAAAGCCGGUCUCAGUUCGGAUUGGGGUCUGCAACUCGACCCCAUGAAGUCGGAAUCGCUAGUAAUCGCGUAUCAGCAUGACGCGGUGAAUAC
RNAcentral lists this ribosomal RNA (1376 nucleotides) under metagenome. RNAcentral's name for it is "bacterial SSU rRNA". It matches the Rfam family "Bacterial small subunit ribosomal RNA", at positions 8 to 1369 of the family's 1533-position model. The record is from RNAcentral.